Eriocheir sinensis (Chinese mitten crab) is the source of this 577-nucleotide long non-coding RNA. RefSeq lists it as uncharacterized. Lineage: Eukaryota; Metazoa; Arthropoda; Malacostraca; Decapoda; Varunidae. The record is from RefSeq and is a predicted model, not a curated record. The transcript is spliced from 4 exons.
UUUACUUUUCGAGACACCCCAUCGUCUAUCUACGACCCAGCCUGUCGUAGGUGGGCACUAUUCUUCGCUAGACAACUCAGACCUUUGGAGGGUGAUUUUGGUGGGUGUGUUGUUUGCCCACUGCCCAUCCCUCUCCGCUGCCAGACGACUCACAAACCCCGCCACCCCUGCCGAUCUUAGCAGGGCGAAUGAAGAGUGCCAGCCGCCGAGGAUAGCUGCGUGGAGGAGUUGCGGAUCAGCAGUCUUCACCAUUGCCAGAUAAACCUGACCCGAAGUUACAAGCUCUCACCGAGGACUAUCAGGAGUGGGUAGAGGGAAAGGACAGUGACGUCAAGGAUAACGGUGUGGUUGCUGACACUGGUUGCGUCUAUCUUCGUCUUCUUGACAAUCCUGGCAAAACAGUUUAGAACGACGCCUUUUCUGAAGUCAAGCAACACGGUGACUGUGGAUGGCGGUGAUGUGAAGCUAACCUUUGGUGACGUGCAUGAUGGAGCACCGACCACUCCCUUGAAGCACAAUAAUGGCUUUACUGGGGCUAUACCGAGGUCAGCCCUUUGGACUUGGUCUACUCUGCUUG